CCCCAGACUCCUACGGGAGGCAGCAGUAGGGAAUUUUGCGCAAUGGGGGAAACCCUGACGCAGCAACACCGCGUGAAUGUUAAGCCCUUCGGGGUGUAAAGUUCUGUCAAUAGGGACGAAUUUUGACUGUACCUAUAAAGGAAGCACCGGCUAACUCCGUGCCAGCAGCCGCGGUAAUACGGGGGGUGCAAGCGUUGUCCGGAAUCAUUGGGCGUAAAGCGUUCGUAGGCGGUAUGUCAAGUCUGAUGUUAAAGCCCGGGGCUCAACUCCGGUUCGGCAUUGGAUACUGGCAAACUAGAAUGUGGUAGAGGUAAAGGGAAUUCCUGGUGUAGCGGUGAAAUGCGUAGAUAUCGAGAGGAACACUCGUGGCGAAGGCGGGUUCCUGGACAUUAACUGACGCUGAGGCACGAAGGCCAGGGGAGCGAAAGGGAUUAGAUACCCCAGUA
Molecule: ribosomal RNA, 446 nt
Filed under: uncultured bacterium
Lineage: Bacteria
Description: bacterial SSU rRNA
Rfam family: Bacterial small subunit ribosomal RNA
Source: RNAcentral